This 229-nucleotide ribosomal RNA is filed under the name uncultured Lactobacillus sp. Its description in RNAcentral is "partial 16S ribosomal RNA". It matches the Rfam family "Bacterial small subunit ribosomal RNA", at positions 129 to 352 of the family's 1533-position model. Lineage: Bacteria; Bacillati; Bacillota; Bacilli; Lactobacillales; Lactobacillaceae. The record is from RNAcentral.
CCCAAGAGAUCGGGAUAACACCUGGAAACAGAUGCUAAUACCGGAUAACAACAGAUGAUGCCUAUCAACUGUUUAAAAGAUGGUUCUGCUAUCACUCUUGGAUGGACCUGCGGUGCAUUAGCUAGUUGGUAGGGUAACGGCCUACCAAGGCGAUGAUGCAUAGCCGAGUUGAGAGACUGAUCGGCCACAUUGGGACUGAGACACGGCCCAAACUCCUACGGGAGGCAGC